This 476-nucleotide ribosomal RNA is filed under the name Pseudomonas sp. SF16. Its description in RNAcentral is "bacterial SSU rRNA". It matches the Rfam family "Bacterial small subunit ribosomal RNA", at positions 8 to 481 of the family's 1533-position model. The record is from RNAcentral. Lineage: Bacteria; Pseudomonadati; Pseudomonadota; Gammaproteobacteria; Pseudomonadales; Pseudomonadaceae.
AGAGUUUGAUCCUGGCUCAGAUUGAACGCUGGCGGCAGGCCUAACACAUGCAAGUCGAGCGGUAGAGAGAAGCUUGCUUCUCUUGAGAGCGGCGGACGGGUGAGUAAUGCCUAGGAAUCUGCCUGGUAGUGGGGGAUAACGUUCGGAAACGGACGCUAAUACCGCAUACGUCCUACGGGAGAAAGCAGGGGACCUUCGGGCCUUGCGCUAUCAGAUGAGCCUAGGUCGGAUUAGCUAGUUGGUGAGGUAAUGGCUCACCAAGGCGACGAUCCGUAACUGGUCUGAGAGGAUGAUCAGUCACACUGGAACUGAGACACGGUCCAGACUCCUACGGGAGGCAGCAGUGGGGAAUAUUGGACAAUGGGCGAAAGCCUGAUCCAGCCAUGCCGCGUGUGCGAAGAAGGUCUUCGGAUUGUAAAGCACUUUAAGUUGGGAGGAAGGGUUGUAGAUUAAUACUCUGCAAUUUGACGUACCGA